Molecule: long non-coding RNA, 598 nt
Filed under: Mytilus galloprovincialis (Mediterranean mussel)
Lineage: Eukaryota; Metazoa; Mollusca; Bivalvia; Mytilida; Mytilidae
Source: RNAcentral
CUCCUAUUAAGUUGUACCAGUGUAAUCAAAUUGUUCUAUUUGUAUUGUUUGUAAAAUUUAGUACAAACGGAGGAUUAGAGCAAUAAAGCCCAAUAUCAUAGUUUUGAAGUAGAAGAAACAGUUUGUUUUUGUGUAAAACAAAUGUUAUCUUUAGCAAGGGGCUGGUCUUGAGACUGUAAAGUUUGGUGACCAUUUAUAACCAGAUGCUCCGCGGGGCGCAGCUUUUUACGACCGCAGAGGUUGAACCCUGAACGGUUGGGGCAAAUAUGGACACAACAUUCAAGCUGGAUUCAGCUCUAAAUUUGGAUUGUGAUUAAAUAGUUGACACAGCAUAGGUUUCUGACACAGAAUGAAUGUGGUCUAAUGAACUUGAAAUAUUUUGUUUGCCUUUGAGCAAUUCACUAUGCUGUUGAAUAUUAAUCCUCUCAAAAUAAUGUUUGAAGAAAUUUUCUUUUUAUUUAUGAAAUCUGAAAUGAGAAAAAUUGAACCCCCCAAUUUUUUUUUUCACAUCCCCCUUUCCCUUAUUCCAAAACUGAUCUCAAUUCAAAUUUCUAAUGGAGUUUGCAACAAUAACUACUCAUUUAAAUACAUCAUAAAA